Molecule: ribosomal RNA, 495 nt
Filed under: uncultured bacterium
Lineage: Bacteria
Description: bacterial SSU rRNA
Rfam family: Bacterial small subunit ribosomal RNA
Source: RNAcentral
GAUGAACGCUAGCGGCAGGCUUAAUACAUGCAAGUUGAGGGGCAGCAUGAUAUACGCGAGUAUAUUGAUGGCGACCGGCGGACGGGUGAGUAAUAGGUAGGAGACCUACCUCAUACAGGGGGAUAGCAUAGAGAAAUCUGUGGUAAUACCCCAUGAGGUUAUAUGAAUAGAGGCAUAUAAUCAAAGCAUAAGCGAUUAUGCGGUAUGAGAGGGGCCUACUGACCAUUAGCUAGUUGGUGAGGUAAGGGCUCACCAAGGCGAAGAUGGUUAGGGGUUUUGAGAGAGAGACCCCCCACAUUGGAACUGAGAGACGGUCCAGACUCCUACGGGAGGCAGCAGUAGGGAAUAUUGGGCAAUGGGCGAAAGCCUGACCCAGCCAUGCCGCGUGAAGGAAGACGGCCUUAUGGGUUAUAAACUUCUUUACUACGCGAAUAGAGGUUAGUACGAGAUACUAAUAGGAAGGUAGUGUAAGUAAAAGCACCGGCUAACUCCGUG